Molecule: long non-coding RNA, 750 nt
Organism: Aethalodelphis obliquidens (Pacific white-sided dolphin)
Lineage: Eukaryota; Metazoa; Chordata; Mammalia; Artiodactyla; Delphinidae
Exons: 5
Source: RefSeq, a predicted model, not a curated record
UAUAAUAAGGAGAUAAUGAACAACUUUCAAGUAUAAAAGUAUAUAUAAAGAUCACAUGCUGUGGAGACACAGGAAGAGAAAUACAGAUUUGAGGAGAAAAAGAAACACAGAAUUCUCAGGACCUACAAAGAAAAAUAUUUGUACUACUUGAACGUUAUUGAUGCAAGCUAUUGGUAGAGGAAGCUGCAAGUGAAAAGACUGUGAGGCCAAGAACAUGCAAAAUAUGUUCAAGGAACAGCAAGAAAUCUGGCAUGGCUGGAGCAGAGAGAAGCACUGAUAGAGAGCAGCUGAGGAUGGAGGCAGCCAGAGGUCAGACCACGAAGCUUUGUAGAUCAUGUUUAUAUGAGCUUGAGGGUGACUUUAGCUUGGUUCAUCUGAGAAGGAUAUUUGAGCUGGAUACCAAAGCUGUGAUCUGAAGGACAAGAAGAACUUACCCAGACAUUGAGGAGAAGUCAUCGUGCUGUAUGUAAAGACACUAAUGAGAGCUGAAGUCUGAAGUAAUUGAAAAGAACUUUCCUUAUCAAAAUAAGAAGUUGGCAUGCCCCAAGUGUGGCAAACAUUGACUAAGAAAACAGGCUGUGGAUGGAAGGUGCUAUGUGGACUCACAAGGACACUUCAGACGAACUGCAUACUUGAAUUUGCAGCGCAGCAAGGAAUAGGCCUCCUUAAGGUACCUUUGUGGAAGAAGAGCUUCUUGCCUGGCCUGUCCAUCCCCUGAUCCAGCAUCGCAGCUGCUCCAGACACUUGGAU